AACCAAAACCAACUAAUCACCAAUUAAAGAAGAGAGACAGCCCAGUCAUUAAGGACUUGAUGUGGAGAACUUUUGCACAUAGAGGAACAUACGACAUACAAAUGAGCAUCAGUGACAUGAAGCACAGGUGGCCUACCUUGUUUAAUGUCUCACAGGUUGGCGCAGAGUUUCUAAUGCUCACAAAACAGAAGGGAGGCAAAAGGACAUUGCAGUAAUUGAACUUACGCAUCUGUAUCCCUAAGGAGAAGCUUACACAAGUGCAGCUUCAUCUUGGAAUGCCAAACAAGAAACUACUGCAGGAGGUUGAGACACGAUGGAACAGCACAUACUUAAUGCUGCAAUGAUUGGUCGAAUUAAGGGAGCCAGUUGGAGCAGCAUCCGCAGGGCUCCAACACGACAGACCACUCCUGACGUCUGAUGAAUUCACCAUUGUUGGAGGGUGCCUUUCCCUGCUGUCUCCGUUUUAUGAUGCCACGGCUGAGCUGUCAGCAGAGAAACAUGUGCCUCUAAAGUUGUCCCCCUCUUGAAAAUGCUUGAGCAAACUCUUCAGGAGGAAGUGACAAAGCCGGCCUCAGUAGUUGCACGUGAAAUGGGAGAGCAACUCAUAUGGCUCCUCCGGGAGAAGCUCCACACUUUACAAUCAAUGAGCAUCAUGUCCCUAGCUACACUCCUGGACCCGCGAUUUAAAGUGAUAGGCUUCUUCAGCCCAAAUAAGGCAUCAGAAGCGAUCAAGCGUCUGACCUCAGAGUGUGCCACGUUGAUAAGGUCCAAACAGGACAGACAGGAAACUCCCCAAGCAUCUACUUCUCAUGAUGACACCGGAGGAAGCAAACUGUGGCUUCGUUUUGACACGAGUGUAAAGGAGGCACAGAAGACUCAAAACG
Doryrhamphus excisus (bluestripe pipefish) is the source of this 884-nucleotide non-coding RNA. The record is from RefSeq and is a predicted model, not a curated record. Lineage: Eukaryota; Metazoa; Chordata; Actinopteri; Syngnathiformes; Syngnathidae.